UACGUAGGGGGCAAGCGUUGUCCGGAAUGAUUGGGCGUAAAGGGCGCGUAGACGGUAAAGCAAGUCUGGAGUGAAAGUCCUGCUUUUAAGGUGGGAAUUGCUUUGGAUACUGAGAGGCUUGAGUGCAGGAGAGGUUAGUGGAAUUCCUAGUGUAGCGGUGAAAUGCGUAGAUAUUCGGAGGAACACCGGUGGCGAAGGCGGCCAACUGGGCUUUUACUGACGCUGAGGCUCGAAAGUGUGGGGAGCAA
Molecule: ribosomal RNA, 248 nt
Filed under: uncultured Christensenellaceae bacterium
Lineage: Bacteria; Bacillati; Bacillota; Clostridia; Christensenellales; Christensenellaceae
Description: partial 16S ribosomal RNA
Rfam family: Bacterial small subunit ribosomal RNA
Source: RNAcentral